CCUACGGGAGGCAGCAGUAGGGAAUAUUGCUCAAUGGGGGAAACCCUGACGCAGCAACGCCGCGUGGAGGAUGAAGGCUUUAGGAUUGUAAACUCCUUUUAUCAGAGAAGAAAAUGACGGUAUCUCCCGAAUAAGCACCGGCUAACUACGUGCUAGCAGCCGCGGUAAUACGGAGGGGGCAAGCGUUAUUCGGAAUGACUGGGGGUAAAGAGAGCGCAGGCGGGCUUGUAAGUCAGAUGUGAAAUCCAUUAGCUUAACUACAGAACUGCAUUUGAAAAUAUGAGUCUAGAGUGUUGGAGAGGUAGUUGGAAUUCUUGGUGUAGGGGUGAAAUCCGUAGAUAUCAGGAGGAAUACUCGUGGCGAAGGCGGACUACUGGAACGUAACUGACGCUCAGGCGCGAAAGCGUGGGGAGCAAACAGGAUUAGAUACCCUAGUAGUC
This 440-nucleotide ribosomal RNA is filed under the name uncultured bacterium. RNAcentral's name for it is "partial 16S ribosomal RNA". It matches the Rfam family "Bacterial small subunit ribosomal RNA", at positions 338 to 795 of the family's 1533-position model. The record is from RNAcentral.